AAAAGCCUGGUGUUCCCGAUCUUUCUGCUCAAUCUGAAUACAUUGAGCAGAGAUAGUGAAUAAGUUUUGAGGGAAAUGGCUCAACCUUAGUACCAACAAAACACAACUAUUGAAUGUCAAAUGCUUCAAUUGUUCUGAAUGUCAUCUUUUCUGUCAUUCAACUUCAACACGCGUUGUCAGUUAGAAAGCUAUAACUGUUACUUCGACUAAAACUAAUUGUGUAAAACUAUGCAAAGGAACAGUGAACAAGAAGUGGAGUCAGAAAUGACUUCAUAGAAAUUGCAAUUGACCUGAUAGUUCUGCUGGGCAUAAUAUCUUUCCUCACGUAUGAUUAUGGAAAUAUCAUAAGGAUGAUAACUAGACAGAUUAGAAGAGCCAAUAGACCGUAUCGCCGCUGACGCGAGAUGAAGACUAUUGCAGAAAUCAGGAAUAAUUUAAAUACAAAAAUUAGAAAAAAAAUGUUGGUAGAAUCAUAAACGUAAACAAGAUUUCUGUGUCUGUGUUGAAAUUGUUUAGUGGUUAUUUCUCAGUUUUGUAAAUGGUGAAUAAAUAUCAUUUCUUCAGUAAAAUACGUGA
This is a long non-coding RNA of Leptinotarsa decemlineata (Colorado potato beetle), 576 nucleotides long. Lineage: Eukaryota; Metazoa; Arthropoda; Insecta; Coleoptera; Chrysomelidae. The record is from RefSeq and is a predicted model, not a curated record.